CAGACAACAGGAGAACAGACAACAGCAGAACCAAAAAAUGCUCCACCAUUGCCCAUGUCAAAGAGAAGAAAUAAGAAGACUGACGAAGAAAAGCCAUGUAAAAAGGAGGAAUUGGACUGAGCCAGAGAGAAAACAAUGAUAAACAUUGGAGCAUCAUGUUGCGGGAGCUGUGGGAUUUGCAAGGACUCGGCAGCUUUUCUGCUGGACAGAGCCAUUAUGUGCGUGCGGUGCCUGGAGACACGAGUGCCUCUCCAUGAACAAGGGGCUUGUUGUGAACAGAGGCCAGCAGCACUGAAGCGCCUGCUCACCUGUUCAGCCCCGGCAGCCAACUCCGCUCUGCUCUGCCCUGCCAAGCUACACUGCAACCAGCUGGUAGCAAUCUUCAAUUACAACACCUGAGCCGCAUUAACUCGUCAGCCUCGACCCUGAAAGCCAGCAGGUGCAUUGGUGGGGGGUGGGGAGGAGGUGCAGAGGGGGGCCUCGCUGGUGCCUGUGGACAAGGCUUGGCUCGUGUCAAAGGGAAUGAAGUUGUUUUAUUAAUUUACUGUUGUGUAGACUUUUGUUCCCUUUGUGUGGAAAUUGGAGAUUGGCGGUGCUGCAACACUGUAUUCAUCCUCCUUUAGCUCCUGUGAUUGGUCAGCACACCCACGCCAAAACUUUCAAGACCUUACACAAGAACCUAUAUAUGUCUAAUGCAGAAGGAAAGUGAAAUGCAUAGUCUCCUUUUAAGUAAUCAGAGAGCAUUAACAUCGUGGGAAGUUGUCAUGUUGUUUUUCUAUUACAGUCUUUGGUGUUGAUAGGAUUAUUUUGUAAGGAGAAAAUCUUCAAGAUGAGCAGCCAGCAUGUAUUAUCACACCCCACCUUCAAGUAACAGCACAGAGCGAAAAGUCAAGGAUCAAUUCCCAGUGGUGCUCUGUGAAAAGCACAGGCAUGGGAGGAAAACACGAUGUUCAGGUUCACAGCAGCGUAAUUGCAAAAGAAGAUUUCUGACCUGUUAUCUGACCAAUUACUUUUCACAUCAUUAAAAUUAAGAAUGAAAUGUAGGCGCUCUGUGCCGGAGACGUGUUUUUAUAUUGAUAUCAGUGAUUAAA
Long non-coding RNA from Acanthopagrus latus (yellowfin seabream), 1091 nucleotides. RefSeq lists it as uncharacterized. NCBI's taxonomy places the organism in Eukaryota, Metazoa, Chordata, Actinopteri, Spariformes, Sparidae. The transcript has 3 exons. The record is from RefSeq and is a predicted model, not a curated record.